RNAcentral lists this ribosomal RNA (253 nucleotides) under uncultured bacterium. RNAcentral's name for it is "partial 16S ribosomal RNA". It matches the Rfam family "Bacterial small subunit ribosomal RNA", at positions 524 to 776 of the family's 1533-position model. The record is from RNAcentral.
UACGUAGGUGGCAAGCGUUGUCCGGAUUUAUUGGGUUUAAAGGGUGCGUAGGCGGCCUAUUAAGUCAGUUCUGAAAUAUCCCGGCUUAACCGGGAGGGUGGGAUUGAUACUGAUGGGCUUGAGUGGAAUCGAGGUAGGCGGAAUUGACGGUGUAGCGGUGAAAUGCUUAGAUAUCGUCAAGAACACCGAUAGUGUAGACAGCUUACUAGGCUUCAACUGACGCUGAGGCACGAAAGUGUGGGGAUCAAACAGG